GGGAGGGUGGUAGUCUAUACGAGCGCACCCUAUUCUUAGUUGCCAGCGGUUCGGCCGGGGACUCUAAGAAAACUGCCAGUGCAAGCUGUGAGGAAGGUGGGGAUGACGUCAAAUCAUCACGGCCCUUACGACCUGGGCCACACACGUGCUACAAUGGUAGGUACAAGGAGCAGCCACUUGGCGACAAGGAGCUAAUCUCAAAAACCUAUCUCAGUUCGGAUUGGAGUCUGAAACUCGACUCUAUGAAGCUGGAAUCGCUAGUAAUCGCGCAUCAGCCAUGGCGCGGUGAAUACGUUCCCGGGCCUUGUACACACCGCCCGUCAAGCCAUGGAAGCUGGGAGUACCUGAAGUCGGUAACCAUAUAGGAGCUGCCUAAGGUAAAACUAGUAACUGGGGCUAAGUCGUAACAAGGUAGCCGUACCGGAAGGUGUGGCUGGAACACCUCCUUUCU
Molecule: ribosomal RNA, 451 nt
Filed under: uncultured Bacteroidota bacterium
Lineage: Bacteria; Pseudomonadati; Bacteroidota
Description: bacterial SSU rRNA
Rfam family: Bacterial small subunit ribosomal RNA
Source: RNAcentral